CAGCCGCCGCGGUAACACAUAGGGGGCGAGCGUUAUCCGGAAUUAUUGGGCGUAAAGAGUGCGUAGGCGGUCUAUUAAGUCUGGCGUGAAAUACCACAGCUUAACUGUGGAGGGUCGUUGGAAACUGAUGGACUUGAGUACGGUAGAGGUAAGUGGAAUUCCAAGUGGAGCGGUGGAAUGCGUAGAUAUUUGGAGGAACACCAGUGGCGAAGGCGGCUUACUGGGCCGGAACUGACGCUGAGGCACGAAAGCGUGGGGAGCAAACAGGAUUAGAUACCCUGGUAGUCCACGCCGUAAACGAUGAGCACUAAGUGUCGGAUGUAGAUUCGGCGCUGCAGUUAACACAGUAAGUGCUCCGCCUGGGGAGUACGGUCGCAAGACUGAAACUCAAAGGAAUUGACGGGGACUCGCACAAGCGGUGGAGCAUGCGGUUUAAUUCGAUGCAACGCGAAGAACCUUACCAGGUCUUGACAUCCCGCUGCCAGCCCUAGAGAUAGGGUUUUCCUUCGGGACAGCGGUGACAGGAGGUGCAUGGCC
This 537-nucleotide ribosomal RNA is filed under the name uncultured archaeon. Its description in RNAcentral is "bacterial SSU rRNA". It matches the Rfam family "Bacterial small subunit ribosomal RNA", at positions 509 to 1050 of the family's 1533-position model. The record is from RNAcentral.